UACAGAGGGUGCAAGCGUUGUUCGGAAUCAUUGGGCGUAAAGGGCGCGUAGGCGGCUGUGCAAGUCAGAUGUGAAAGCCCAGGGCUCAACCUUGGAAGUGCAUCUGAAACUGCGCAACUAGAGUCUCGGAGAGGGUGGUAGAAUUCCCAGUGUAGAGGUGAAAUUCGUAGAUAUUGGGAGGAAUACCGGUGGCGAAGGCGACCGCCUGGACGAAGACUGACGCUGAGGCGCGAGAGCGUGGGGAGGCAAACA
RNAcentral lists this ribosomal RNA (252 nucleotides) under uncultured bacterium. RNAcentral describes it as "partial 16S ribosomal RNA". It matches the Rfam family "Bacterial small subunit ribosomal RNA", at positions 524 to 774 of the family's 1533-position model. The record is from RNAcentral.